RNAcentral lists this unclassified non-coding RNA (249 nucleotides) under Melitaea cinxia (Glanville fritillary). RNAcentral describes it as "misc RNA ENSMCXG00005013174.1". Lineage: Eukaryota; Metazoa; Arthropoda; Insecta; Lepidoptera; Nymphalidae. The record is from RNAcentral.
UCACUUUCAAUUACCAAACUUUCUUCAACAAACUUCAUUCUAUUGGAUUUAUACCGUUAGUAGAAAAGUAGUAGUAUAGUGUGACUAAAUUAAUUAUAUUUUCAUCAGGUACACUCCCAACUAAUUUGCCAACUUUACCUGCAUGCAGACACAAUAAAAAAAAAUUGUAAGCAAAACAAAACACAUCGACGAAGACCAAAAAACGAGACUCGGGCUGCCAAGAAAAUGUGUACAAUACUAUUUGCCUAG